GGGGGCAAAAACAGCAAGGAGGGCCACUGACAGAUCUGCCCGAAUCAUCAUGAAGUUUGACACACAGUAAUAUUUUAUGCCACCGUGACAGCAGCGCAACAUCAUGCCAACACACCGGAGGGGGCGGAGCCUCUCCGAGGGGCUGACCCUGGAGGAAUCAGAAGCGGGUGGACUGGUCAUCUCCAACGUCACUAGCGACUCCUCAGCCAAUCAGGG
Molecule: long non-coding RNA, 216 nt
Organism: Lampris incognitus (smalleye Pacific opah)
Lineage: Eukaryota; Metazoa; Chordata; Actinopteri; Lampriformes; Lampridae
Exons: 3
Source: RefSeq, a predicted model, not a curated record